RNAcentral lists this ribosomal RNA (268 nucleotides) under uncultured Eubacteriales bacterium. RNAcentral's name for it is "uncultured Clostridiales bacterium partial 16S ribosomal RNA". It matches the Rfam family "Bacterial small subunit ribosomal RNA", at positions 70 to 339 of the family's 1533-position model. The record is from RNAcentral. Lineage: Bacteria; Bacillati; Bacillota; Clostridia; Eubacteriales.
AGUAGCUUGCUAUGAGCUGUUUUAGCGGCGGACGGGUGAGUAACGCGUGAGCAACCUUUCCCAGACAGGGGAAUAACAGUUGGAAACGACUGCUAAUACCGCAUAAGCGCACGGUAUCGCAUGAUACAGUGUGAAAAACUCCGGUGGUAUAAGAUGGACCCGCGUCUGAUUAGCUUGUUGGUGAGGUAACGGCUCACCAAGGCGACGAUCAGUAGCCGGCCUGAGAGGGUGAACGGCCACAUUGGGACUGAGACACGGCCCAAACUCC